Molecule: transfer RNA, 74 nt
Filed under: Candidatus Heimdallarchaeota archaeon
Lineage: Archaea; Promethearchaeati; Candidatus Heimdallarchaeota
Also listed under: 6 other names
Description: tRNA-Pro
Rfam family: tRNA
About the family: Transfer RNA (tRNA) molecules are approximately 80 nucleotides in length.
Source: RNAcentral
GGGAGGGUGGUCUAGCUUGGUAUGAUUCUUGGUUUGGGACCAAGGGGUCGGGGGUUCAAAUCCCCCCUCUCCCA